CUUGGCUGCGUAAGGACGCCUUUCGUCAUUAAAGACAUCAUUGACCAGUAUCAGAAAAGAUAUACGCAUAUGUACAUAUAUAAAUGUACGUACGUAUGUCGAUCGGUCGCGUACGCGUGUGAGGACUAGCCGAAUAGUGUGGCUGUGUGUGUGCGUGUGUGUGUAUGUGUGAGUGGGUGGAUUUGUUCUUUUAUUUUCAUUUCAUUUUUUAUUCGUUUUAAAAUUCUACAUUGUUGUUACGGGGAGAGGUUAAAUCCGCGUCAAGAGUUGUGUGUCGAUAACAAGGAUACCGGAGAUAAAUCACGCAAAACCGUCUCUCCCUUUCUCUCUCUCUCUCUCUCUGAACCUAUCGCUCUCUAUCUUCCCCGCCCUCAGGGGAAAAUAAAUAAAUUAAAAAAACAAAAAAAAAUCGCCAGCCCCCGAGCAUCGGGUUUCGUUAAUUUCUGGUUCGUUGUUUCGUUCCCCCUUCGCCCUCCCGCCGUCAUCAUCCUCCUCCCCCUCCUCCUCCUCCCAGCGACCAAAGAGUCACUGCCAGCAGCUGAGCGAGUGCACGUCGCGUUUCUGUAUGCCGCGCCGAGUGUCGUGUCGUCUCUGUGUGUCGUCGUUGUGCGAUCGCGCGUGCGACGAGGAGAAAUAUAACCUGAUGUGAGUGAAACGUUGGAUUUAAAAACCGCCUUUCAGUUUUUCCGGAAUACCCCAACCUGUUAGUUAUAAGCGGCCACCGGUCGUUUUGUCCUUCGCCCGAUCGGAGCCGGAAAAAUCGUGAGAAUAGCGGAAGGUCGAUUCGUCGCUUUCUUUUCUUUUCAUUUCAUUUGUUUUCUAUCGGGUUCGAACCGAGGGUAUUAUUUAUCGUACGUAAAGGCGAAACGGAAAUAGUUGCACGCUGCUUCGGGUUUGCGUGCGGAAAACUGAGGUGAAAAAGAAGAGUAAUAAGCGAGACAAGGGUAAACAAAGGAAUAGGAGGGUCACCGUUGUUCGCAAGAGCUGAUUGUAAUAACCGUGACACAUUGUGACGUGUGACGAGUGGAGAAGGUGAAGCAAAAGUUCGGGAUAAAAAAAAAAUUCAAACAAGUUUCGUUUUUAUUCCACGUGUAACGGUGCCGCCGAAAAAAGAAGAAUAAGAAAAAAGAAACAAACGAAACGAUACCUCGUCGAUGUCGAACAGGAAAAUCAGCGGUGGUUAAAAGUUUGUGAUCUUUCGCUCUUCGUUUUUUUUUUCCAACGUCAAAGCGACCGUCCCGCGUACAACAGUGCAAUAACACAGCCGACAGGGAGAUAAAAAAAAAAAAAAAAAAAAAUAGGCGGCAAUUGGUGAUAUGAAAAGAGGAUUAUUUUUCGGUGUGUAAGAAGUGUGGGUUUUAAAAAAAGUGACAGAAGAAACAACGAAAGGAUCCGAGAACUAAUAAUCAGCGUCAUAUGACAGCGGUGAGAGGAGUUGGGAAAAAAUUUUGUUUUAACGUCGAUUUUUGAUCCGAGAUAUUUGACGAAACCCGUGCUUGAAAAAAAAAAAAAAGCGUUGCACCAAGGGCUGAUUAAGUUGUGUACAAUCGAACAUUCAAAGAAUGCGAAGAAACGACGCGCCAUAGAGGGUAAAACGUAUAAAUAGUGAGGUGGGCGAAUAACGAAGCCGAAAGCCGUAGGGACCAGUUCGAAAACAAAACAAAAGAGCGUCGUCGUGCAUCUUCUCGGUGCGUUUGGAACAGCACAGCAGCGACGGAAGAGGGUGAAAGUGAAAAUCGUCGGUGAUACGGGACCGCCGCUUGCCGACGGAGAGACAGACAGACGGGCGGAAACCCAGUAACAGAAGUAGCAAAAGUAUACGAACAGGGGAAAAAAAAAAUCUGCGACCAAUCACCUCGAAGUCAGUCGGCUCUUCGCCUAGGGGGGCCUUAGGUGAAUUUUUGAUGGCAGUGGUGGGGCCGAGCCGGCACUCGCGGGUGUCCAUGAGCGUGUCGAUGUCGCUUAUGCAGGGGGGUGGGGCCGGGGCUACCGGCGGCGGCGGCGGAGGCGGCGGGACGACCGGGACUCAUCCGGGACAGGCGGUCCUAGCAGCGGCGGCGGCCGCCGCCGCCGUCGCCCAGGCCCCCCCGACUUAUUACCACCCCGCCGCCCCCGCACCGCCACCACCACCCCCUACCCAGGACCCAGUACAGCCGGACAGACCCAUUGGAUACGGGGCCUUUGGAGUCGUCUGGGCUGUCACAGAUCCCAGGGACGGUCGUCGAGUGGCGCUUAAAAAACUGCCGAACGUCUUUCAGAGCCUCGUCAGCAGUAAACGAGUGUUUCGAGAGUUGAAGAUGUUGUGCUUCUUCAAACACGAAAAUGUACUAUCUGCACUGGACAUACUUCAGCCACCGCAUCUAGACUUCUUCCAGGAAAUUUACGUGAUAACCGAGCUUCUCCAAAGUGACCUGCACAAGAUCAUCGUCAGCCCGCAGCAUCUCAGCGCAGAUCACAUAAAGGUCUUCCUGUAUCAAAUACUGAGAGGAUUAAAGUAUCUGCACUCGUCGAGAAUUCUGCAUCGUGAUAUUAAGCCGGGAAAUCUGCUGGUAAACAGCAAUUGCGUUUUGAAGAUCUGCGAUUUCGGCUUAGCCAGAGUCGAGGAACCUGACCAGAACAAACACAUGACUCAGGAGGUGGUCACGCAGUACUACAGAGCACCAGAAAUCCUUAUGGGUGCACGGCACUAUUCAGCAGCAGUUGACGUGUGGAGCGUUGGUUGUAUCUUCGGUGAGCUUCUCGGUAGGCGAAUUCUAUUCCAGGCGCAAAGUCCGGUACAACAGCUUGAACUAAUCACGGAACUGCUCGGCACUCCUUCGAUGGAAGACAUGAAGUACGCCUGCGAAGGAGCCAGAUCUCACAUGUUGAGACGAGCGCCGAAACCACCUUCUCUAACAGCUCUCUACACUCUCAGCAGUCAGGCUACGCACGAAGCUGUGCAUCUCUUGUGUCAGAUGUUGGUGUUUGAUCCGGACAAAAGGAUCACCGUCGUCGACGCUCUAGCUCAUCCUUAUCUCGACGAAGGACGACUGCGUUAUCAUUCCUGUAUGUGCACUUGCUGUUAUACCGCAAGUGCUGGAAUGCGACAGUAUACCGGCGAUUUUGAACCUGCCACUUCACACACCUUUGACGAUUUGUGGGAAAGAAAGUUGACCAGUGUGCAGCAGGUGAAAGAGGAAAUGCACAAAUUUAUCGCGGAACAGCUGAACACAACGCGCGUACCACUGUGUAUAAACCCACAGUCAGCGGCGUUCAAGAGUUUCGCAAGAAAAAGAAAGAAACACCAACACCUCGUCACGUAUUAUCCUGAGAAUCAAAAAUGAUCGAAGAUGAACGAAAUCCUGAAUAAUAAAAAUAUUCCAACCGUACUGAACCAAACUUUCCUUAAAAUAUCCAUACAAUGAUCAUUGUGAUUCGUCUGAUACUGAUCUUGAUCGUCUUGCUUACUGCCGUCAAGUUAGAGCAAGCCAUCUGCCAACCCAGCACCGUGCGCCGCGUAUACGUACACAUUACCACUACCGAAUCAACUAUCUACCACUGUCAGCUACCACUAUCGACUACUACUACUAUCAGCUACUACCAAUCGUUACGUCUUCUCCUGAACGAAAGAAAGAAUGACCGAGAAUCAUCUAUAAGUCGGCCCGACCUCGCUCGCAGAGCUCAACGGUGGCCCAUCCUUCGGAACUGCCACCCUCUCCACAUCAAUGGGAAUAAUGUUUUCCCUGGGUCCAAACACAUCCGGUUUUCUACAAAGGGCAUGACGACGAAUGGUCAAGAGAAUUGCAUUUGUCGCAUCCGGUGAAAGGAAAGAAGAGAUGAGAGAGGAAAUUGUGCAGAAGAAAACUAACCGAAUCCAGCCCGAGAAGAACGGAGACUAUCGAAGCAGUUGGGCCCUCAGAGCACUAAGAGAGACAAUAGACUGCUGAGCAAGUAGCCUCAAAUUCAAGUCUAGUUAAUAGACGAACGUAGCUAAAUAAUAGACAAAUAGUAAGAAUACAAAAUAGCAAAUAUUAGCAACAGAAAGAAUGGAACACUGAAAUAGGCCAGUUUUUAGCUUGAUUCGUACAAAGACAGCUGGUAUUUAACUGAUCGCAGUUAUGAACACUACAGCGUUAAUUCCGUAUGAUAAUAAUAAUAAUAACACUAAUAAUAACAAUAAUAGAAAUAAAAAUGACAGUUACAAUGACAACGUGUACCAUAAUAGGUAUAUACGCUGAACACGAAAACUUUGUGAAGAUGAGUGCGUAUGUAGUAAAUUUAGUAGAAAACAGUUUUUUGGACGAGCAUGUAAAGAGCGUAAUAAGAGCAUAAUAUAGUUUCAAAGGUAUGAUCUUAUAUUAUUUCGUUUGCAUUAAAAUGACGCAAUUUAGUUUCAUUACUUUAAUCUUAAUAUAUAUAUAUAUAUUAUAUAUUACAUAUAUAUCAUAU
Molecule: unclassified non-coding RNA, 4428 nt
Filed under: Neodiprion lecontei (redheaded pine sawfly)
Lineage: Eukaryota; Metazoa; Arthropoda; Insecta; Hymenoptera; Diprionidae
Description: serine/threonine-protein kinase NLK, transcript variant X3
Source: RNAcentral